AACGAACGCUGGCGGCAUGCCUAACACAUGCAAGUCGAACGAUGCCUUCGGGCAUAGUGGCGCACGGGUGCGUAACGCGUGGGAAUCUGCCCUUGGCUUCGGAAUAACAGUUAGAAAUGACUGCUAAUACCGGAUGAUGUCCCCCUGAGAGAUCUUGGGGACCAAAGAUUUAUCGGCCAGGGAUGAGCCCGCGUAGGAUUAGGUAGUUGGUAGGGUAAAGGCCUACCAAGCCGACGAUCCUUAGCUGGUCUGAGAGGAUGAUCAGCCACACUGGGACUGAGACACGGCCCAGACUCCUACGGGAGGCAGCAGUGGGGAAUAUUGGACAAUGGGGGGAACCCUGAUCCAGCAAUGCCGCGUGAGUGAUGAAGGCCUUAGGGUUGUAAAGCUCUUUUACCAGGGAUGAUAAUGACGGUACCUGGAGAAUAAGCUCCGGCUAACUCCGUG
RNAcentral lists this ribosomal RNA (447 nucleotides) under uncultured bacterium. RNAcentral describes it as "partial 16S ribosomal RNA". It matches the Rfam family "Bacterial small subunit ribosomal RNA", at positions 29 to 507 of the family's 1533-position model. The record is from RNAcentral.